Molecule: small nuclear RNA, 103 nt
Organism: Ursus americanus (American black bear)
Lineage: Eukaryota; Metazoa; Chordata; Mammalia; Carnivora; Ursidae
Source: Ensembl
AUGCUCCACCGGCAGCACAUACACUAGCACUGGAACAGUGAGGAGAUUAGCAUGACUCCUGUACAAGGAUGACAUGCAAAUUCAUGAAGUGUUCCAUCUUUUU